Molecule: ribosomal RNA, 462 nt
Filed under: uncultured bacterium
Lineage: Bacteria
Description: partial 16S ribosomal RNA
Rfam family: Bacterial small subunit ribosomal RNA
Source: RNAcentral
GACGAACGCUGGCGGCGUGCUUAACACAUGCAAGUCGAACGGAAAGGCCCCUUUGGGGGUCCUCGGGUGGCGAACGGGUGAGUAACACGUGAGUAACCUGCCCUUGACUUCGGGAUAACUUCAGGAAACUGGGGCUAAUACCGGAUCGGAAUCCUUGCUGCGUGGGGGUUGGAAAGCUUCGGAGGUUUUGGUUGGACUCGCGGCUUAUCAGCUUGUUGGUGGGGUAGUGGCUUACCAAGGCUUUGGCGGGUAGCCGGCCCGAGAGGGUGACCGGCCACACUGGGACUGAGAUACGGCCCAGACGCCUACGGGAGGCAGAAGGGGGGAAUAUUGCACAAGGGGCGGAAGCCUGAUGCAGCAACGCCGCGGGCGGGAGGACGGCCUUAGGGUUGUAAACCGAUUUCAGCAGGGGCGAAGCUUGUGGUGACGGUACCUGCAGAAGAAGCACCGGCUAACUACGUG